This 483-nucleotide ribosomal RNA is filed under the name uncultured Verrucomicrobiaceae bacterium. Its description in RNAcentral is "bacterial SSU rRNA". It matches the Rfam family "Bacterial small subunit ribosomal RNA", at positions 29 to 505 of the family's 1533-position model. Lineage: Bacteria; Pseudomonadati; Verrucomicrobiota; Verrucomicrobiia; Verrucomicrobiales; Verrucomicrobiaceae. The record is from RNAcentral.
AACGAACGCUGGCGGCGUGGAUAAGACAUGCAAGUCGAACGAAAAUACUGAUUAGUUUACUAAGAUGUAUUUUAGUGGCGGACGGGUUAGUAACACGUGAGAACCUACCCUUUAGACAGGAAUAGUCCCGGGAAACUGGGUUUAAUGCCUGAUAGUCUCUAUGGAGUAAAUGAUGCCUUCGGGUGUCGCUAAAGGAUGGGCUCGCGGCCUAUCAGCUUGUUGGUGAGGUAAAGGCUCACCAAGGCGACGACGGGUAGCUGGUCUGAGAGGACGAUCAGCAACACUGGAACUGAGACACGGUCCAGACACCUACGGGUGGCAGCAGUCGAGAAUCAUUCACAAUGGAGGCAACUCUGAUGGUGCAACGCCGCGUGGAGGAUGACGGUCCUAGGAUUGUAAACUCCUGUCAUUGGGGAGUAAGACUUAAGCGUUAAGAGCGUUUAAGUUUGAUAGUACCCAAAGAGGAAGGGACGGCUAACUUCG